This 388-nucleotide ribosomal RNA is filed under the name Burkholderia sp. 3CB3A. RNAcentral describes it as "bacterial SSU rRNA". It matches the Rfam family "Bacterial small subunit ribosomal RNA", at positions 393 to 774 of the family's 1533-position model. Lineage: Bacteria; Pseudomonadati; Pseudomonadota; Betaproteobacteria; Burkholderiales; Burkholderiaceae. The record is from RNAcentral.
CAUGCCGCGUGUGUGAAAAGGCCUUCGGGUUGUAAAGCACUUUUGUCCGGGAAGAAAUCCCCUGUGUUAAUACCACGGGGGGAUGACGGUACCGGAAGAAUAAGCACCGGCUAACUACGUGCCAGCAGCCGCGGUAAUACGUAGGGUGCGAGCGUUAAUCGGAAUUACUGGGCGUAAAGCGUGCGCAGGCGGUGCUGUAAGACCGAUGUGAAAUCCCCGGGCUUAACCUGGGAACUGCAUUGGUGACUGCAGCGCUGGAGUAUGGCAGAGGGGGGUGGAAUUCCACGUGUAGCAGUGAAAUGCGUAGAGAUGUGGAGGAACACCGAUGGCGAAGGCAGCCCCCUGGGCCAAUACUGACGCUCAUGCACGAAAGCGUGGGGAGCAAACA